UUUUUGUACUAUUAUUGACUAGUGUGGAAGAAGUCUAGAAUGUGUCAGUUAUGUUACUAAUGUAGCAUUUUUAAUCAAUCAUAUAUUUUUUUUUAAGAUUCUGUGAUAUCCCAAUAGUCCCACGUUGGAUAAUAUGGGAGAGUCUUAUGUGUUUAUAAGUAACGGACACAAUAGUAAUAAUAAUUGGUUUUAAGCAUUUUGGGCUGGUGGUUUGGGCCUAACGAGUUAUUAUUGCUAACAGGUCAGGUCGUUAGAGAUUCACCCAUUCCAUCAUAGUUAUUAGAAAAAUAUUUUUAUUGUGCUUUGCUUUCAAAAUGAGAGAUGUGAUCGGCAGAAGAUGGUGUAAGUGUUACAAUAUAGUUUUUCUAUCAAAGGUGAGGAAAUUAAUAAUUUCAUGUUCAAUUGAUUGGUAUAAAUUGACAUAUAUAAGUAUUAAAUGAGAAUUAGAUGUGUAAUGUUAAAAAAU
This 466-nucleotide long non-coding RNA is filed under the name Ananas comosus (pineapple). Its description in RNAcentral is "long non-coding RNA (ACOM_LNC007688)". Lineage: Eukaryota; Viridiplantae; Streptophyta; Magnoliopsida; Poales; Bromeliaceae. The record is from RNAcentral.